AAGCUUCACUGUUUGAAUUACUUUUUCUGCAAAUAAUUUUGCAGUAUGAAAGUUCAUGUUGAUUCCCAUCAUUUCUCCAUGGCUUGCACAGUCUUUUGAGUGGUUUGUAGCCAUAUUUUAUUAAUUGUUGAGCAGAGUGUUAACACUUUUUUUAAUGAUGAAACUGAUGCAUGAAUCAGGUUUUGAGGAAGAUCAGCAUUAUCAUUUUAUGAGAUGAUUGUCCUUGACAUUUGUUAUUGUGCUUGAAUAUUUUUGUUCCACUUUGUUUCCAGUUCUUCUAGAACCAAUAUUUGAUCCCUGCUAAUAAUCUGGUCUAGAUAACUGCAUUUUAUAAAAGCUGUACUGGCAUCAAAGAAAGAAGGAAAGGUAAUUGGUCAUAAAUGUGUAAAUUUAUUAAUACGGAAAUAAUGAAACGCUCGGAAUCACAAUGUCAGUGUUGUGUAGGAUUGAAGUUGGAAGUGAGUAAGAUCACAAUGGAAUUGGAAUCUGCCCUAAAAAUUAUAGAAAUUUUGAAAGAAGAGCUGGGCAGUGCGGCCGCAUUGUCUAGUGCUAAUAAAAGUGUCAUACGAAAUAAUGAAAAUGGAUCUCAAAUAUCUCCAAGUGAAAAAGAAACUGGAUCCAUAUACAAAGAAAUCAACAAAAGAAGAUAACAGAUAAGUUAAAAGACCAUGAGGAAACAUAUGUAACAACAAGUAAUCAUUUUGAAAUUUUAUCUAACCUCAAUGAGAUUAUUAAGUCUACUGAAGCAGCAAAAGAAGAAAUUCUCAAACCAAGUAAAACUGUACAAAAUAAUAUCGACAAAAGUAAUUUUCAAGCAAGAGACAGUAAAUACAAGGCUGAUGCAGAAGGACAGAUGAUUAAUAACAUUUCAGUGAUAAUAAAUGGUCUAGUAACAUCUAAUAACAGUAAAGUUCUGAACAGUGACAUCUUACAUUCAUAUGAGAGUGCUGAAACCGUUGAGGCUAAUGCAAGGAAUGAGAAAGAGGCUCCCAAGGAGAAAGUUGCUGAUUCAGCAGCAAGUGCUUCAAAGAACAAAGGAAACCACACUAUAUUAAUUAUUGGAGACAGCCAUGUAAGGAGAUGUGCAAGUAAACUGAGAGAAAAUCUUGAUAAAACUUAUAAGGUAUACCACAUAGACACAACCUGGCAGAUUGGUCUUGCAUAAAUAAUGAGAUAAAUGCCUUUGAUAGGAAACUGUUUAAAAUCAUGAAAUGUCACAGUAAUGAACUGUGACUUAGACACUUCUUUAUAAGACCAGGUAUGCAUCUGAAGAGGAGAAGAAAAGAAGAUAUGCUUAAACAUAUAGCAGCAACCUGUGUGACAAUUUCUCAAUCUAAUAAAAAUUUGACCCCAAUUUGCUUGCUCUGGAAGGAAUCUGAAAAUUAUAAUGCAAAUUUACAAGCUAACAAGUUUCCAGCUAUGAAUGAGUCAGUAAAAACGACAGAGCAAAAAAAUGAACCAGUACGGAAAUCAAAUGGACUAAAAAAACUACCAGGCCUGUGACUCACCAGCACGAGACCUCAAGUGACUCGUCUGCCAUAAGAGCAAGUAGCUGUUGCUUUGCAGUCAUAGCAAGCAAGUUUCAGCAUUUCUCUGACAUCCAUUUUGCUGCUCUAUCAUCCAUGCUUGGCUCUUUCAAAUAGCCUUUUCUGUUGAGGCUGUGCCACAAAAAUCUGGUCAUGUCAAGACUG
RNA transcript from Cryptotermes secundus, 1691 nucleotides. RefSeq lists it as uncharacterized. The transcript has 3 exons. NCBI's taxonomy places the organism in Eukaryota, Metazoa, Arthropoda, Insecta, Blattodea, Kalotermitidae. The record is from RefSeq and is a predicted model, not a curated record.